RNAcentral lists this long non-coding RNA (214 nucleotides) under Lathyrus oleraceus (garden pea). Its description in RNAcentral is "Pisum sativum (pea) long non-coding RNA (PSAT_LNC001464)". Lineage: Eukaryota; Viridiplantae; Streptophyta; Magnoliopsida; Fabales; Fabaceae. The record is from RNAcentral.
UGAAAGAGUCUUGUUUGGAGUUGUGUGGGGUUGAAUAAGUAUGAUUGUUAUAUUUUAGAAGUUGGUAGAAAAAGAAAAGAAAAAAAAAUGAAUGAAAAAAAGGAGGUAUACAUGUCAAUACAUACUCCUUAUGAAAAGAAAAAAAAAGAUAAAGGAGAAGAAAAAUAUGAAUGAAAAUAAUUAUUAUAAAGUUGUUGAAGCGAAUGAAAUAUUU